Molecule: transfer RNA, 69 nt
Filed under: Mus musculus (house mouse)
Lineage: Eukaryota; Metazoa; Chordata; Mammalia; Rodentia; Muridae
Description: tRNA-Ala
Source: RNAcentral
GUACAGCUCAAUGGUAAAGCAAUUGGCUGGCAUGCACAAGGCCCCGGGUUCAAUUCCCAGCACUGUAUA